Molecule: long non-coding RNA, 218 nt
Filed under: Lathyrus oleraceus (garden pea)
Lineage: Eukaryota; Viridiplantae; Streptophyta; Magnoliopsida; Fabales; Fabaceae
Description: Pisum sativum (pea) long non-coding RNA (PSAT_LNC037210)
Source: RNAcentral
AAUGUAGCCUUUUCCAUGUAAAUUACCAUUUUCAAACUUUGUAAAGAUACAUGGAGUCCCGCCAUUUGCGGACUACCAUUCUAUUAAAUAAAGUUGAACUUUUAUCCAAUUAUUUUGUAUUUUUAUUUGUUUUUGUUUUAAAAUUGAAUUUUUAUGAUGAUAAUUUUGAAAUAAAUAAAUCAAUGAACAAUGUUUUUUCUUAAAAUAAUAAGGCAUUU